CCAGCCACUGACUCAGAGUUCCUGAGAGUUUUAAAGAGAACGACAAGCUCUGAGGAAUGAGCGUGUGCCCUGGAGGAAGCAGCACGCUUGGGGCUGGGGGUGCAGAUCAGUGGACAGGGUUCUUGCCUCGCCUGCGGGAAACACUGGGUUUGCCAUCCAGCCCCUCAUCCCUGAAAUCUCAGUACAUAGUGAGUUCAAGGCCAGCCUGGGCUAUGUGAGAGUGUCUCAAAAAAAAAUUAAAUAAAACGGCAUGCUUCAUAUAG
RNAcentral lists this long non-coding RNA (263 nucleotides) under Rattus norvegicus (Norway rat). RNAcentral's name for it is "long non-coding RNA NONRATT026630". Lineage: Eukaryota; Metazoa; Chordata; Mammalia; Rodentia; Muridae. The record is from RNAcentral.